CCUACGGGAGGCAGCAGUGAGGAAUAUUGGUCAAUGGGCGUAAGCCUGAACCAGCCAAGUCGCGUGAGGGAUGAAGGCUCUAUGGAUUGUAAACUUCUUUUAUAAGGGAAUAAAGUGCGGGACGUGUCCCGUUUUGUAUGUACUUUAUGAAUAAGGAUCGGCUAACUCCGUGCCAGCAGCCGCGGUAAUACGGAGGAUCCGAGCGUUAUCCGGAUUUAUUGGGUUUAAAGGGUGCGUAGACGGCCUUUUAAGUCAGCGGUGAAAGUCUGUGGCUCAACCAUAGAAUUGCCGUUGAUACUGGGAGGCUUGAGUAUGUUUGAGGCAGGCGGAAUGCGUGGUGUAGCGGUGAAAUGCUUAGAUAUCACGCAGAACCCCGAUUGCGAAGGCAGCCUGCCAAGCCAUGACUGACGCUGAUGCACGAAAGCGUGGGGAUCAAACAGGAUUAGAUACCCUGGUAGUC
This 460-nucleotide ribosomal RNA is filed under the name uncultured bacterium. Its description in RNAcentral is "partial 16S ribosomal RNA". It matches the Rfam family "Bacterial small subunit ribosomal RNA", at positions 338 to 795 of the family's 1533-position model. The record is from RNAcentral.